AGUGAACGCUGGCGGUGGGCCUAACACAUGCAAGUCGAACGGCAGCACAGUAAGAGCUUGCUCUUACGGGUGGCGAGUGGCGGACGGGUGAGGAAUACAUCGGAAUCUACUUUUUCGUGGGGGAUAACGUAGGGAAACUUACGCUAAUACCGCAUACGACCUACGGGUGAAAGCAGGGGAUCUUCGGACCUUGCGCGAUUGAAUGAGCCGAUGUCGGAUUAGCUAGUUGGCGGGGUAAAGGCCCACCAAGGCGACGAUCCGUAGCUGGUCUGAGAGGAUGAUCAGCCACACUGGAACUGAGACACGGUCCAGACUCCUACGGGAGGCAGCAGUGGGGAAUAUUGGACAAUGGGCGCAAGCCUGAUCCAGCCAUACCGCGUGGGUGAAGAAGGCCUUCGGGUUGUAAAGCCCUCUUGUUGGGAAAGAAAAGCAGCAGGUUAAUACCCCGCUGUUCUGACGGUACCCAAAGAAUAAGCACCGGCUAACUUCGUG
Molecule: ribosomal RNA, 492 nt
Filed under: uncultured bacterium
Lineage: Bacteria
Description: partial 16S ribosomal RNA
Rfam family: Bacterial small subunit ribosomal RNA
Source: RNAcentral